ACCUAAUUCCCCAUAAUUCUAAUGUUUGUGUUAUCUUGGAAUUAACAAAUAAAUUAAUAAUUGCAGCAAACAUGGUACUUACUAUCUACAUUGCCGAGGCAAUCUGGCAGGUUGGUUGCUCAGACAUUAUUAUUAUGAAUUUAGAAUUUCCUUAUAGGCAUUGGACUCCACUGAUAGACUUCUUUUAUAAUUAUCAGGAGAUUAAUUUGGUAGAUUCGGUCCAAUUUUCAAAAAAGAAUAAAUAUUUUAAAAUACAAGAACCAGACACAAAAAAGUUUUUUGUAUGUCAGAUUAUUGGUCAGGGACUCAAACCUUUUGUCAAUUGCAUU
Molecule: long non-coding RNA, 329 nt
Filed under: Androctonus crassicauda
Lineage: Eukaryota; Metazoa; Arthropoda; Arachnida; Scorpiones; Buthidae
Source: RNAcentral